This 691-nucleotide ribosomal RNA is filed under the name Flavobacterium sp. S72.05.BG.W.Kidney. Its description in RNAcentral is "bacterial SSU rRNA". It matches the Rfam family "Bacterial small subunit ribosomal RNA", at positions 60 to 752 of the family's 1533-position model. RNAcentral also lists the same sequence under 2 other names. The record is from RNAcentral. Lineage: Bacteria; Pseudomonadati; Bacteroidota; Flavobacteriia; Flavobacteriales; Flavobacteriaceae.
AGUCGAGGGGUAUAGUUCUUCGGAACUAGAGACCGGCGCACGGGUGCGUAACGCGUAUGCAAUCUACCUUUUGCAGAGGGAUAGCCCAGAGAAAUUUGGAUUAAUACCUCAUAGUAUAGCAGUUUCGCAUGAAACCACUAUUAAAGUCACAACGGCAAAAGAUGAGCAUGCGUCCCAUUAGCUAGUUGGUAAGGUAACGGCUUACCAAGGCUACGAUGGGUAGGGGUCCUGAGAGGGAGAUCCCCCACACUGGUACUGAGACACGGACCAGACUCCUACGGGAGGCAGCAGUGAGGAAUAUUGGACAAUGGGCGCAAGCCUGAUCCAGCCAUGCCGCGUGCAGGAUGACGGUCCUAUGGAUUGUAAACUGCUUUUGUACAGGAAGAAACACUCCCUCGUGAGGGAGCUUGACGGUACUGUAAGAAUAAGGAUCGGCUAACUCCGUGCCAGCAGCCGCGGUAAUACGGAGGAUCCAAGCGUUAUCCGGAAUCAUUGGGUUUAAAGGGUCCGUAGGCGGUUUAGUAAGUCAGUGGUGAAAGCCCAUCGCUCAACGGUGGAACGGCCAUUGAUACUGCUAGACUUGAAUUAUUAGGAAGUAACUAGAAUAUGUAGUGUAGCGGUGAAAUGCUUAGAGAUUACAUGGAAUACCAAUUGCGAAGGCAGGUUACUACUAAUGGAUUGACGCUGAUGG